UACGUAGGGGGCAAGCGUUGUCCGGAUUUAUUGGGCGUAAAGAGCGUGUAGGCGGCCAAUCAGGUCCGCUGUGAAAACUCGAGGCUCAACCUCGAGACGUCGGUGGAAACCGUUUAGCUAGAGUCCGGAAGAGGAGAGUGGAAUUCCCGGUGUAGCGGUGAAAUGCGCAGAUAUCGGGAAGAACACCCGUGGCGAAGGCGGCUCUCUGGGACGGUACUGACGCUGAGACGCGAAAGCGUGGGGAGCGAACAGG
RNAcentral lists this ribosomal RNA (253 nucleotides) under uncultured bacterium. RNAcentral's name for it is "partial 16S ribosomal RNA". It matches the Rfam family "Bacterial small subunit ribosomal RNA", at positions 524 to 776 of the family's 1533-position model. The record is from RNAcentral.